RNAcentral lists this ribosomal RNA (374 nucleotides) under uncultured bacterium. RNAcentral describes it as "bacterial SSU rRNA". It matches the Rfam family "Bacterial small subunit ribosomal RNA", at positions 28 to 409 of the family's 1533-position model. The record is from RNAcentral.
GAUGAACGCUAGCGGCAGGCCUAAUACAUGCAAGUCGAACGGUUGUAGCAAUACAAUAGUGGCGCACGGGUGCGUAACGCGUAGCCAACCUACCCGAAUCUGGGGGAUAGCCCGCCGAAAGGCGGAUUAAUACCGCAUAAAACCACAGAGUGGCAUCACUUCAUGGUUAAAGAUUUAUUGGAUUCGGAUGGGGCUGCGUGCCAUUAGCUAGUUGGAGAGGUAACGGCUCACCAAGGCGACGAUGGCUAGGGGGAGCUGAGAGGCUGGUCCCCCCACACGGGCACUGAGAUACGGGCCCGACUCCUACGGGAGGCAGCAGUAGGGAAUAUUGGGCAAUGGACGAGAGUCUGACCCAGCCAUGCCGCGUGCAGGAU